UGAGCCAUUCAAAAGAUACAUGCCUAGUAAUGAAAGAUGUACCCUUUGUGUGAUUUCACAAGAACUCUAUUCUUUAUCAUAAUGUUGCUUUACAGGGCAAUGUAGACAAGAUGGAGCAUAGUGAGGCUGAUUCCAGUGUUCUUGCUACCCAGGGGUUGCUUUCAGAGUGCCAGAGAGAUGAAAGAGGCAAUCAAGAAAGAGAUUCACUUUGACUCUUUAGUGAAGGAACAUUCAACUAGGUUUUGUGCGGUGUAUUUCUGAUGGCUGCUGACACAUGAAUAGGAGACACCUGAAGACAAGACGUCAGUCACAGAGGGAGGGUUGUGUCCGACCGAUUGGCUCAGCUCCGGUGUGAUGGACAACCCAGACCUUCUACUGUGCCUGGUGAUGCGCACAGGAGGAACACGGAUCAAAUCAAUUGCUGGACCAGAAUCCCCCAAUCUCAGAAAAAAUUGCACCAGAAACCCAACAAGAAGGGAGACCAACAUGGCUCCGAAACAACAAGAUUACAGAAUUCAAAAUGGAGAUUGUGAACAAGUUUUUAAAAUGAUACCAUAACACAAUAUAUGGUUAGAAUACAUAUAACAGUUUUCUCAUACAGUCUGGGCCAGCAUAAGAAAGAAAAACAUGAGGCUCCUUCAGGGAUUGCUCCCACUUCUUCCCACUCUUCCUGACUGCUGAAUGCUGUCAUUGAAAUCUAUCCAUGUAGACAGAUGGAUGUAAUGAUGUUUGAUUUUUGGUAGGGCAGAAAACAGAAAAGAAAAAUAAAUCAAAGGCAAGAUGGUCA
Molecule: long non-coding RNA, 787 nt
Filed under: Chrysemys picta bellii (western painted turtle)
Lineage: Eukaryota; Metazoa; Chordata; Testudines; Emydidae
Description: lncRNA (ENSCPBG00000025133.1)
Source: RNAcentral